RNAcentral lists this ribosomal RNA (460 nucleotides) under uncultured bacterium. RNAcentral describes it as "bacterial SSU rRNA". It matches the Rfam family "Bacterial small subunit ribosomal RNA", at positions 270 to 720 of the family's 1533-position model. The record is from RNAcentral.
AAGGCGACGAUCUAUAGCUGGUCUGAGAGGACGAUCAGCCACACUGGGACUGAGGACACGGCCCCAGACUCCUACGGGAGGCAGCAGUGGGGAAUAUUGGACAAUGGGCGCAAGCCUGAUCCAGCAAUACCGCGUGUGUGAAGAAGGCCUUAGGGUUGUAAAGCACUUUCAAUUGGGAGGAAAACCUGUCGGUCAAUACCCGGCAGCUUGACAUUACCUUUUAGAAGAAGCACCGGCUAACUCCGUGCCAGCAGCCGCGGUAAUACGGAGGGUGCAAGCGUUAAUCGGAAUUACUGGGCGUAAAGCGUGCGUAGGCGGUUCGUUAAGUCAGAUGUGAAAGCCCCGGGCUUAACCUGGGAACUGCAUUUGAAACUGGCGGACUUGAGUUGAGUAGAGGGGAGUGGAAUUUCAGGUGUAGCGGUGAAAUGCGUAGAUAUCUGAAGGAACACCAGUGGCGAAG